AGCAGCCGCGGUAAUUCCAGCUCCAAUAGCGUAUAUUAAAGUUGUUGCAGUUAAAAAGCUCGUAGUUGAAUUUCGGGACUAAUAUGUCGGUCGUACUUUGUACGUACUAGCAUUAUUGGUUUCUCCCUUCUGACGAACCACGAUGUCAUUAAUUUGGUGUCUUGGGAAAUCAGAACUGUUACUUUGAAAAAAUUAGAGUGUUUAAAGCAAGCUCGCGCUUGAAUACAUUAGCAUGGAAUAAUGAAAUAGGACGUUUGAUUCUAUUUUGUUGGUUUCUAGGAUCGACGUAAUGAUUAAUAGGGAUAGUUGGGGGCAUUAGUAUUCAAUUGUCAGAGGUGAAAUUCUUGGAUUUAUUGAAGACUAACUACUGCGAAAGCAUUUGCCAAGGAUGUUUUCAUUAAUCAAGAAUGAAAGUUAGGGGAUCGAAGACGAUCAGAUACCGUCGUAGUCUUAACCAUAAACUAUGCCGACUAGGAAUCGGAUGAUGUUAAUUUUUAAUGACUCAUUCGGCGCCUUACGG
Molecule: ribosomal RNA, 520 nt
Filed under: uncultured Glomus
Lineage: Eukaryota; Fungi; Glomeromycota; Glomeromycetes; Glomerales; Glomeraceae
Description: SSU rRNA
Rfam family: Eukaryotic small subunit ribosomal RNA
Source: RNAcentral